RNAcentral lists this ribosomal RNA (482 nucleotides) under uncultured bacterium. RNAcentral describes it as "bacterial SSU rRNA". It matches the Rfam family "Bacterial small subunit ribosomal RNA", at positions 501 to 981 of the family's 1533-position model. The record is from RNAcentral.
CUACGUGCCAGCAGCCGCGGUAAUACGUAGGUCCCGAGCGUUGUCCGGAUUUAUUGGGCGUAAAGCGAGCGCAGGCGGUUAGAUAAGUCUGAAGUUAAAGGCUGUGGCUUAACCAUAGUACGCUUUGGAAACUGUUUAACUUGAGUGCAAGAGGGGAGAGUGGAAUUCCAUGUGUAGCGGUGAAAUGCGUAGAUAUAUGGAGGAACACCGGUGGCGAAAGCGGCUCUCUGGCUUGUAACUGACGCUGAGAAGCGAAAGCAUAGGGAGCGAACAGGAUUAGAUACCCUGGUAGUCCAUGCCGUAAACGUUGGGCACUAGGUGUGGGGGACAUUCCACGUUUUCCGCGCCGUAGCUAACGCAUUAAGUGCCCCGCCUGGGGAGUACGGCCGCAAGGCUAAAACUCAAAGAAAUUGACGGGGGCCCGCACAAGCGGCGGAGCAUGCGGAUUAAUUCGAUGCAACGCGAAGAACCUUACCAAGGCU